AGAGUGAACGCUGGCGGCAGGCCUAACACAUGCAAGUCGAACGGCAGCACGGCAGUAGCAAUACUGUGGGUGGCGAGUGGCGGACGGGUGAGGAAUACAUCGGAAUCUACCUUGUCGUGGGGGAUAACCUCGGGAAACCGGGACUAAUACCGCAUACGAACUAUGGUUGAAAGCGGCGGACCGCAAGGCGUCGCGCGAUUGGAUGAGCCGAUGUCCGAUUAGCUAGUUGGCGGGGUAAAGGCCCACCGAGGCGACGAUCGGUAGCUGGUCUGAGAGGAUGAUCAGCCACACUGGAACUGAGACACGGUCCAGACUCCGUACGGGAGGCAGCAGGUGGGAAUAUUGGACAAUGGGGGCAACCCGUGACUCCAGCCAUGCCGCGUGUGUGAAGACGGCCUUCGGUGUAAGCUAC
RNAcentral lists this ribosomal RNA (412 nucleotides) under uncultured soil bacterium. RNAcentral describes it as "bacterial SSU rRNA". It matches the Rfam family "Bacterial small subunit ribosomal RNA", at positions 26 to 433 of the family's 1533-position model. The record is from RNAcentral.